This 253-nucleotide long non-coding RNA is filed under the name Sparus aurata (gilthead seabream). RNAcentral's name for it is "lncRNA (ENSSAUG00010012048.1)". The record is from RNAcentral. Lineage: Eukaryota; Metazoa; Chordata; Actinopteri; Spariformes; Sparidae.
AUGUCAUUGGCUGCCUGUCCGCUGAGUCGUGGAACAGCGCCACGAUCACAGGCUGAACGACUCACAGGCUCCACACGAGCCGGGAGAAUGAGGGGGAGACGAGGGGGAGGGAGGCAGAGUAAAUGGCAGGAGAGAAGACCAUGGGAAGUGGCUGAAAGCUCCCUGAAAAAGCUAGAUUUGGCUGCAUGGUGAUUGGGAACGUGCUGCCUGGCGACUCUUAUCAUUCCUGUCUGUCAGAGACGGGAACACUCAU